CCGUCGAUAGCUCAGUUGGCAGAGCGGUGGACUGUAGAUCCAUAGGUCGCUGGUAUCCGGCUCGACGGA
Molecule: transfer RNA, 69 nt
Filed under: Nephila pilipes (giant wood spider)
Lineage: Eukaryota; Metazoa; Arthropoda; Arachnida; Araneae; Nephilidae
Description: tRNA-Tyr
Rfam family: tRNA
About the family: Transfer RNA (tRNA) molecules are approximately 80 nucleotides in length.
Source: RNAcentral